AAAUGAAUUGACGGGGGCCCGCACAAGCAGUGGAGUAUGUGGUUUAAUUCGAAGCAACGCGAAGAACCUUACCAGGGCUUGACAUGUAUGGAAUCUUACGGAAACGUAGGAGUGCCUUAGGGAGCCAUAACACAGGUGGUGCAUGGUUGUCGUCAGCUCGUGUCGUGAGAUGUUGGGUUAAGUCCCGCAACGAGCGCAACCCCUAUCGUUAGUUGCCAGCAUUAAGUUGGGCACUCUAGCGAGACUGCCGGUGACAAAUCGGAGGAAGGUGGGGACGACGUCAAAUCAUCAUGCCCCUUAUGUCCUGGGCUACACACGUACUACAAUGGCUGUAAACAGAGGGGAGCGAGGCAGCGAUGCCAAGCAAAUCCCAAAACACAGCCUCAGUUCAGAUUGCAGGCUGAAACUCGCCUGUAUGAAGUAGGAAUUGCUAGUAAUCGCGAAUCAGCAUGUCGCGGUGAAUACGUUCCCGGGCCUUGUACACACCGCCCGU
Molecule: ribosomal RNA, 493 nt
Filed under: uncultured bacterium
Lineage: Bacteria
Description: bacterial SSU rRNA
Rfam family: Bacterial small subunit ribosomal RNA
Source: RNAcentral